This 253-nucleotide ribosomal RNA is filed under the name uncultured bacterium. RNAcentral describes it as "partial 16S ribosomal RNA". It matches the Rfam family "Bacterial small subunit ribosomal RNA", at positions 524 to 776 of the family's 1533-position model. The record is from RNAcentral.
UACGGAGGGAGCGAGCGUUGUCCGGAAUUACUGGGCGUAAAGCGCGCGUAGGCGGACAUUUAAGUCAGGGGUGAAAUGCCGGGGCUCAACCUCGGAACUGCCUUUGAUACUGGGUGUCUGGAGUUCGGGAGAGGUGAGUGGAAUUCCGAGUGUAGAGGUGAAAUUCGUAGAUAUUCGGAGGAACACCAGAAGCGAAGGCGGCUCACUGGCCCGAUACUGACGCUGAGGCGCGAAAGCGUGGGGAGCAAACAGG